RNA transcript from Mangifera indica (mango), 2293 nucleotides. RefSeq lists it as uncharacterized. Lineage: Eukaryota; Viridiplantae; Streptophyta; Magnoliopsida; Sapindales; Anacardiaceae. The transcript has 4 exons. The record is from RefSeq and is a predicted model, not a curated record.
GCCCCACCUUUUACUGGUCCUAUGUAUAUGCCAUCUACGUUUGGUGGCCCACCUGCCUAUGGUGGUUUCGGGAGGAUGAGAGGAGCAGCAGCUCCAGUUGUGAUUAAUACAGAGCGACAUCUAUUUCAUUCAGAGAUUUUGGAUCGUCAAGUUUAUGAAAAGAAACGGAAGUUAUCAAAUCUGAAUAUGAGUGGACAGUCCGAUGAUGAUGAUGAUGAUGAUGAUGAUUAUCUUCAUAUUAAGAAAAGGUGUCACUUGAGUGAGGAAGAAAGAUCAGAUGACCGUAGAUCUCAUAUCAGUAGGGAAAGGAGUGUAAGCUGUUCUGAGGAAAGCAUUUUGCGUAGGUUACACAAGAGACACUUCAUGACACUAAUUUGGACAAUGGCACGUACUCUGUUGAUGAGAAACAUGAGAAAAAUCCCCAUUCCUCAAUUUCUGGUAGAGAAUGGAGGCCACAUCACUCAGAGAGAAGUUCAGAAGUUGAGAAUAUCCCCAUUGGUUCCAGCUGGAAAAGUGAUAUGAGGCAAAAAGAACAGAGCAGAAACUCUAAAAAGCACAGUGCAAGAAGGGAGCAGUGUUGCAGUGAUUCUAGUUGUGUUCGCCAUCCAAGUAACAAAGAGAAAGAGGUUGAAAGAAAGAGAGUGAAGUCUGAUGUCAAAAAACAUGAACAGAAACAUAGCAGCCGCUCAGAUUCUGGUUUGGAACCAAGCUGUCCUGGUGAUAUAAAAAAACAACUAAAAGAGAGAGAUUUCAGUAAUGUGUCAGGGCAUUCUCGGCACAAUUCAAGGUCUAUGGACAAUCAGCCAAGUCAUGAUAGGUGGCUGAUGGUCAGGGGGUCGGAUGAAAAUUAUGCUGAAGACUUUCGUUAUAAAAAACGAAAAAGAGUUUACUAAUCGAAACAACAGGCCUGAUGUUUUGAGCUUGAGCUGUGGAGGCUAGCAAACAAAGGUUUUAAGUUGAGGAGCAAUGGUAAGUAUAUUUUAUGUUUCAGACACAUCAAAACAUGCUGAACUUCUUUUUGCAGAGAUGGCUGAUGCUGGUAAAGGUAUGUUUCCCUUUCAGAAGAGAGAAAAGAAAAAUUAAGUGAAAAGUUUAUUCUUUUUCCUGGGAAUAUAUCAUUCCCCUACUGCAGAAUGAGCUGCACAUUCAUGCUAUAACAUGCACAUAGAUGUAUGUUUGUCUUCCGUGGUGACUUAGUGUGAUGCCUUUUCUAUUUAGAUGACCUGUCAGUAAACAUGUGUGAGCAUUGUUUUUGUCGUUCAUUUCCUGGCCACCUGUGCUUGAGGUCCUACUUUUCUGACCAAGAGUAUCAUGCAGUCAAAUAUUACAAUGCUGCAUUUUUCUUGCAUUCCUUGACAUCAAGCCUUAUUUUUGUGAAAUUUAGUUGGUUUCGUUUUUUUAACCCCCGAGUCUUGACUUGAAGUUCAUUUUUCACUACAACACAUUUUAGUUGGUUUGUUCUAAAAAACACAAUAAUGACAAAAAAGUAGUUUUAAAUUAGAGAUAAAACAACACUUAAUUAAAAGAUAGUAUAUGCACAAAUAUGUCACGAUGUGAUUGAGUAGUUUUAAAUUAAAUAUAAAACAAUAUUUAAUCAAUUCAUUUCUUCUUGUAUGAUUUGUUACGAGGAGGGCUCUCUUUAAAUCAGACAAAUUCCUCGCCCUUCAACUGUUUUUAACAUACAAUUUGUCCACUCUCUAACUAAUUCUCAUUGUGAAAACUAGUAGUUUUUUGCGUGAACGAUGUUGUCCCUUUAUUUUUUAAAACCAAAAUGAAAUGGAGCCUUUUCCCAUUCUUCAAUGACCCUUGCCAAAUGGGAUCGUAUCAUUUGAAAAGUGAUUUGAAUUCUUAUCAAUAUCUCCCCCUUCAAACACAGUCCUCAAGGAAAAAUACUCUGAAGUGUCAUUUCAGUUUGUUGGCAUAUUCCCAUGUGGCCUCGCCAAAAGACAUCCCUUGUCAUUGUGUCAAGAGUUGAGCAGUUAUAACAUUCUUCUAUUUGACCAUGUGACGGUUGAGGAUGGCUUGUGGAAGAAGAACAUGAAUGAUAAAGUUUUGUGGAUUCGUGGCAGGGACAGUAGGUGUGUGAAUUGGUUUUAGUAUUUAGUAAUAAUAUGUGAAAGACAUCAUGUAUUUCUGCCCUUGGAGGAAGUUGAAGCUUUCAAGCAAAAACUCUAAUAGUGACUUAAAUAUGGAAGAGCUUGAAAUAUUUUGUAUUGAAAGUAUCAAUAAGGUUGUUGCUUGUUAUAUACCCAGUCUUUCAUAUGAAAUAUUUGUUCUAUUUGUUUUUUAUCAA